GCACAAGCGGCGGAGCAUGCGGAUUAAUUCGAUGCAACGCGAAGAACCUUACCAAGGCUUGACAUACACCGGUAACGCCCAGAGAUGGGUGCCCCUUUGUGGUCGGUGGACAGGUGGUGCAUGGUUGUCGUCAGCUCGUGUCGUGAGAUGUUGGGUUAAGUCCCGCAACGAGCGCAACCCUCGUCCUAUGUUGCCAGCGGGUCAUGCCGGGGACUCAUGGGAGACUGCCGGGGUCAACUCGGAGGAAGUGGGGAUGACGUCAAAUCAUCAUGCCCCUUAUGUCUUGGGCUUCACGCAUGCUACAAUGGCCGGUACAAAGGGCUGCGAUACCGCGAGGUGGAGCGAAUCCCAGAAAGCCGGUCUCAGUUCGGAUUGGGGUCUGCAACUCGACCCCAUGAAGUCGGAGUCGCUAGUAAUCGCAGAUCAGCAACGCUGCGGUGAAUACGUUCCCGGGCCUU
Molecule: ribosomal RNA, 458 nt
Filed under: uncultured Curtobacterium sp.
Lineage: Bacteria; Bacillati; Actinomycetota; Actinomycetes; Micrococcales; Microbacteriaceae
Description: bacterial SSU rRNA
Rfam family: Bacterial small subunit ribosomal RNA
Source: RNAcentral